GUGCCAGCCGCCGCGGUAAUACGGAGGGGGUUAGCGUUGUUCGGAAUGACUGGGCGUAAAGCGCGCGUAGGCGGAUCGGAAAGUUGGGGGUGAAAUCCCGGGGCUCAACCCCGGAAUGGCCUUCAAAACUCCCGGUCUUGAGGUCGAGAGAGGUGAGUGGAAUUCCGAGUGUAGAGGUGAAAUUCGUAGAUAUUCGGAGGAACACCAGUGGCGAAGGCGGCUCACUGGCUCGAACCUGACGCUGAGGUGCGAAAGCGUGGGGAGCAAACAGGAUUAGAAACCCUCGUAGUCC
RNAcentral lists this ribosomal RNA (292 nucleotides) under uncultured bacterium. RNAcentral describes it as "partial 16S ribosomal RNA". It matches the Rfam family "Bacterial small subunit ribosomal RNA", at positions 505 to 796 of the family's 1533-position model. The record is from RNAcentral.